RNAcentral lists this ribosomal RNA (253 nucleotides) under uncultured bacterium. RNAcentral describes it as "partial 16S ribosomal RNA". It matches the Rfam family "Bacterial small subunit ribosomal RNA", at positions 524 to 776 of the family's 1533-position model. The record is from RNAcentral.
UACGUAGGGGGCAAGCGUUGUCCGGAUUUAUUGGGCGUAAAGAGCGUGUAGGCGGCUAGGUAGGUCCGUUGUGAAAACUCGAGGCUCAACCUCGAGACGCCGAUGGAAACCAUCUGGCUAGAGUCCGGAAGAGGAGAGUGGAAUUCCUGGUGUAGCGGUGAAAUGCGCAGAUAUCAGGAAGAACACCCGUGGCGAAGGCGGCUCUCUGGGACGGUACUGACGCUGAGACGCGAAAGCGUGGGGAGCAAACAGG